RNAcentral lists this ribosomal RNA (815 nucleotides) under uncultured archaeon. RNAcentral's name for it is "bacterial SSU rRNA". It matches the Rfam family "Archaeal small subunit ribosomal RNA", at positions 472 to 1284 of the family's 1478-position model. The record is from RNAcentral.
AACACCGGCAGCCCGAGUGGUGAUCACUAUUAUUGGGUCUAAAGGGUCCGUAGCCGGUUUAAUCAGUCUUCUGGGAAAUCUAAUCGCUUAACUAUUAGGCUUCCAGGGGAUACUGUUAGACUUGGGACCGGGAGAGGUAAGAGGUACUGCAGGGGUAGGAGUGAAAUCUUGUAAUCCCUGUGAGACCACCAGUGGCGAAGGCGUCUUACCAGAACGGGUCCGACGGUGAGGGACGAAAGCUGGGGGCACGAACCGGAUUAGAUACCCGGGUAGUCCCAGCUGUAAACGAUGCUCGUUAGGUGUCAGGAACGGUGCGACUGUUUCUGGUGCCGAAGGGAAGCCGUGAAACGAGCCACCUGGGAAGUACGGCCGCAAGGCUGAAACUUAAAGGAAUUGGCGGGGGAGCACUACAACGGGUGGAGCCUGCGGUUUAAUUGGACUCAACGCCGGAAAACUCACCGGGGGCGACAGCAAUAUGUAGGUCAGGUUAAAGGUCUUACCUGAAUCGCUGAGAGGAGGUGCAUGGCCGUCGUCAGUUCGUACUGUGAAGCAUCCUGUUAAGUCAGGCAACGAGCAAGACCCGUGCCCACUGUUACCAGCGUAUCCUUUAUGGAUGAUGGGGACUCUGUGGGGACCGCUGCUGCUAAAGCAGAGGAAGGUGCGGGCUACGGUAGGUCAGUAUGCCCCGAAUCUCCCGGGCUACACGCGGGCUACAAUGGUUGGGACAAUGGGUAUCUACUCCGAAAGGAGUUGGCAAUCUCUUAAACCCAAUCGUAGUUCGAAUUGAGGGCUGUAACUCGCCACUCAUGAAGCUG